UAAAAUAAGCCAGAACUUGUUUAUUGAAAAAGCACUAAAACAAAAUCUUUUGGUAAGAUUGAGCAAGAAAACACAAAUAGAGAAUGGAAAAAUAAAAAUGUUAUAAAUGCAGUUGAAAUUUGAAAAUGUGAGGAUAUUAUGAACAAUUCAUUUGAAAACUGACAAUAAUAGACAAAUUACUACAAGUCUUUUACUCUAAUUGAAGAUAGACAUGCAAUCCCACAGCUCCUAGUUUCAGUAAUUAAAAAUUUUCCCCCAAAGCAUUUUAUAGUAAAUUCCACUAACCUGUUCCAUAUGGUACCAGUUCUUAAUCUAACAGUUAACAGUUCAUUCAAAAUAAUAGCAACAAUGUAUUUGAUUAUAUACAUAUAUAUUUGUGUGUGUGUAUAGUCUUCAUACUUAGGGGUGCUUAUAUAUAAGUGGAAUGACAGCAAUGAUACAUGGGAUAGGAAAGAGAAAUUAGGAUUAUUUUGUUACUAUAAGGUAAACUGCCCAUGAAGUAGUAUAUUAUUAUUUGAAAGAGGGGUUGCAUUAUUUGUAAAUGUAUACUGCAAACACAAGGGCAACCAUAAAAAAAACCACACUAGAAGACAGAGAAUAACAAAAUGCCAAAUUAACACCAUCAAAGGCACAAGAAGAAUGGAAGUCAAAAAUAGGAAUAACGAACAAGGUUAACAAAUAGAAAACAGUAACAUGGUAGAUGUUUAUCCAAAUAUAUAAAUAGUUUGAAUGUCAAGGGUGUAAAUGUACCAAUUAAAAGAUAGAUUAUUCUAUGGGAAAAUUGGGCCAGUUUAAAAAAGAAAAAAAAUAUUGUCAAAGCAGAUCAAAGAACAAAACCCAAUUAUAUGUUGGUUACAAGCAACCCACUUGAAAUGUAGAGACAUACAAAUUAAAGGGAGAAAAAUAUGCCAGGCUAACACCAAAAUGAAGAAAUAGGUAUAUUAUAGAAUAGCAGACUAUACAGCAAGAAUUAUCAGGGAUAAUGAUGUAGUACAAAAUGAUAAAGGGGUCCAUUCUCCAAGAAGACAUAACUAUCCUUAACAUGUAUGCACCCAAGAACAGAGGAUCAGGAUACAUGAGGCAAAAACUGAUAGAACUGCAGGGAAAAUGAUGCAGUUUGGAAGUUUACCCCUCUAACCCUCACAUUGAAUUGUAAUCUCCAGUGUUGGAGGUGGAACCUGGUAGGAGGUGACUGCAUCAUUGGUGCAGAUUUCUCAUGAAUGGUUUAGCCCCAUCCACUUGAUGCUGCUCUUGUGAUGUGCAUGCUCAUGAGGUUUGGCUGUUUACAAGUAUAUGGCUUCUUCCCUCACCGUCUCUUACUCUUGACUCUCACUAUGUGAGACUUCGGGUCCCUUUGCCUUCCACCAUGAUUGUAAGCUUUCUGAGGCCUCACCAGAAGCUGAGCAGAUGCCUGGGACUGUGCUGCUUGUACAGCCUACAGAACCAUAAGCCAAUUAAGUCUCUGUUUAUAUUACUCAGCCUCAGGUAGUUAUAGCAAUAUAAGAAUGGCCUGCCACAGAAAAUUGGUACUGAGGAGCUAUAUAGACAUUUGAAAAACCAGAGUCUCUUACUUCAGACAACCACCCUAGUGCCCCAGCAAGGGUUCUUAACCAGGCUGAAAUGGCUGAAAUGACAGAAGUAGAAUUCAGAAUAUGGAUAGGAACAAAAAUAAUCGAGAUUCAGAAGAGAAGUCAAAACCCAAUUCAAGGAAUCUAAGGAUUACAAUAAAAUGAUACAGGAGCUGAUAGAUAAAAUGGGCAUUAUAAGAAAGAAACAGACUGAUCUGAUAGAGCUGAAAAAGAUGCUACAAGAAUUUCAUAAUGCAAUCAUGAGUAUUACCAGCAGAAUAGACCAAGCUGAGAAAAGAAUCUCAGAGCUCAAAGAAUGACUCACUGAACUAACUCAAACAAAAAGAAUGAACAACACCUCCAAGAAAUAGGGGGUUAUGUAAAGGAAACCAAAGGGGAAGAAAGCAAGCAACGUGGAAAACAUAUUUCAGGAUAUUGUUCAUGAAAUUUCCCCAACCUCACUAGAAUGGCCAACAUUCAAACUGAGGAAAUGCUCUGGGAGAUACUACCCAAGAAGACCAUACCUGAGGCACAUAGGCAUAAGCUUCUCCAAGGUUGAAAUGAAAGAAAAAAUGUAAAAGCACCCAUAGAGAUGGGGCUGCUUGUGCAGGGCACAAGCCAUAAGCCUUGGUGGCUAACAGGUGUUGUUAAGCCUGCGGGUGUGGAGGGUGCAAGAGUGAAGGAGGCAUGGCAGCCUCCACCUAGAUUUCAGAGGAUGUAUGAGAAAACCUGAGUAACCAGGCAGAAGCCUGCUGCAGGGAUGGAGCCCUCACAGAGAACCUCUACUAAGCCAGUAUGGAGGGGAAAUGUGGGGUUGGAGGCCCCACAGAGUCCCCACUGGGGUACUGCUCAGUGGAGCUGUGGGAAGGGGGCCACUGUCCUCCAGACCCCAAAAUGGUUGAUCCUCCAGCAGCUUCCACCCUGUGCCUGGAAAAGCCUAAACUCCAACCCUUUACCCUGCAAAGUCACAAGGGCAGAGCUUCCCAUGGCUUUAGGAGCCCACCCCUUAUACCAAUGUGCUCUUGUGAGGCACAAUGUUAAGACAUGGAGUCAAAGAAGGUUAUUUGGGAUAUUUAAAACUAAAAGACUGUGCUGCUGUAUUUCAGACUUGGAUAGGGCCUGCAGCCUUUCUUUUGGCUAAUUUCUCUUUUUUGGAAUGGUAAUACUUAUCCAAUAUCUGCACCCCCGUUGUAUCUUGGGAGUAAAUACUUUGAAUUUUAGAAGCUUAUAGGUGGAAGAGACCUGCCUUGUCUCAGAAGGGCUUUGUACUUUUGAAUGAUGCUGGUAUUAAGAUUUUUUGGGAGAAUAUUGGCAGAGGAUGAUUGUAUUUUGAAAUGUGAGAACAUAAGAUUUCAGGUUCCGGGGCAGAAUGAUACAGUUUGCAUGUGGUCUCCUCUAAAACUCAUGUUAAAUUAUAAUCCCCAGUGUUGGAGGUAGGACAUGGUGGGAGAUAACUGGAUCAUUGGGGCAGAUUUCUCAUGAAUGUUAGUGCCAUCCACUUGGUGCUGUCCUUGUGAUAGUGAGUUCAUAACAAUAUCUGGAUGCUUAAGUGUAGCAUCUUCCCCCUCAUUCUCAUCUGCUCUUGCUAUGUGAGAUGCCAGGUCCCCCACUGGCUUCUGCCAUCAUUGUAAGUUACCUGAGGCCUCACCAGAAGCUGAGCAGAUGCCUUGCACCAUGCUUCUUAUACAACUUGCAGAAUUGUGAACCAAUUAAACCUUUUUACUUUAUAAAUUACUCAGUCGCAGGUAUUUCUUUACAGCAAAUUAGACAAUAGGUUAACACAGAAAUAGUUGAAUUCACUAUUACAGUUGGAGACUUCAACACUCCUCUAUCAGAAAUGAGGAGAUCCAUCAAGCAGAAAAUCAGGGAGUCAACGGAGAAAACUGAUGAAACCAGAAGCUGGUUUUUGAAAGAUGAAAUCAGUAAACCUCUGACAAGCCAGACUAAGAGAGACAAAAAUUAGUAUCAGAGAUGAAAGAGGGGAUAUCACUGCAGAUCCCAUGAACAUUUACAAGGGUAAUAAAGGAAUAUCACAAACAAUUGUAUGCCUACAAAUUUGAUAACCUACAUGACAAAGUCCUUGAAACACACAACCUGCCAAAACUCACACCAGAAGAAAUAGAUACUCCAAAUACACCUGUAUCUAUUUUAAAAAUUGAAUCUAUUGCCUUCACAAACAAAAUGCUAGACUGAGAUGGGUUCACUGGUGAAUUCUAAAAAUGAUACUAAUUCUGUAGAAACUCUUUCAGAAGGUAGAAGCAGAGGGAAUGCUUCCUAAUUCAUUCUAUGAGGCCUAAAACCAAAACCAGACAAAAAUAUCACAAGAAAACUACAAAAUAGUAUCUUUAAUUAACAUAGAUGUAAAAAUCCUCAAUAAAGUAUUAGCAAAUCCAAUUCAACAAUGUGUAAGAAUUACACACCAGGAUCAAGAAGGAUUCAUCCCAGAUAUGCAAGGCUGGUUCAAAUAUUGAAAAUGAACUAAUAGAAUCUAUCACACAAAGAAACUCAAGAAAAAUCAUAUGAUCACAUCAAUAGAUCCAGAAAAAAUAUGACAAAAUCCAAAACCCAUUCAUGAUAAAAAUUUUCCAUCAACUAGGCUGGGCGCAGUGGCUCACACCUGUAUUCCUAGCACUUUGGGAGGCUGAAGCAAGCAGAUCACUUGAGGUCAGGAGUUCAAGACCAGCCUGGCCAACAUGGUGAAACCAUGUCUCUAAUAAAAAUACAAAAAAUUAGCUGGGUGUGGUGGUGGGCACCUAUAAUCCCAGCUACUUGGGGGGCUGUGGCAGAAUUGCUUGAACCCAGGAGGUGGAGGUUGCAGUGAGCCGACAUCGUGCCACUGCACUCCAGCCUGGGUGACAGAGAGGCUCCAUCUCUAAAAAAAAAAAAAAAAAAAAAA
This is a long non-coding RNA of Macaca fascicularis (crab-eating macaque), 4464 nucleotides long. The record is from Ensembl. NCBI's taxonomy places the organism in Eukaryota, Metazoa, Chordata, Mammalia, Primates, Cercopithecidae.